CUACGGGUCGCAGCAGUGAGGAAUAUUGGACAAUGGUCGAAAGACUGAUCCAGCCAUGCCGCGUGCAGGAUGAAUGCCCUAUGGGUUGUAAACUGCUUUUAUACGGGAAGAACACCACCCACGUGUGGGUGACUGACGGUACCGUAAGAAUAAGGACCGGCUAACUCCGUGCCAGCAGCCGCGGUAAUACGGAGGGUCCAAGCGUUAUCCGGAAUCAUUGGGUUUAAAGGGUCCGUAGGCGGGCUAUUAAGUCAGAGGUGAAAGUUUGCAGCUCAACUGUAAAAUUGCCUUUGAUACUGGUAGUCUUGAGUUAUAGUGAAGUGGUUAGAAUAUGUGGUGUAGCGGUGAAAUGCAUAGAUAUCACAUAGAAUACCAAUUGCGAAGGCAGAUCACUAACUAUAUACUGACGCUGAUGGACGAAAGCGUGGGGAGCGAACGGGAUUAGAUACCCCUGUAGUC
Molecule: ribosomal RNA, 459 nt
Filed under: uncultured bacterium
Lineage: Bacteria
Description: partial 16S ribosomal RNA
Rfam family: Bacterial small subunit ribosomal RNA
Source: RNAcentral